Molecule: non-coding RNA, 25 nt
Filed under: Mus musculus (house mouse)
Lineage: Eukaryota; Metazoa; Chordata; Mammalia; Rodentia; Muridae
Source: RNAcentral
UGUGAUGUCUGAGCAAGACAAGGAC